CUCACAUCUAGCUUUCUAGUGCUGUUAGUUAAAUUGUUUUGAGGGCUCAAAAUGUUGAUUCUAUUUUUAUUCUCCAAUUAUUGUUUUUCUUUUCUUUUUAACCAUGAAAGAGCUCAGUGCCUUUGAAUUUUCAUUGUGCUAGAGUUAAAAGCAUUCAUUAGGCAUUCCAAAAAUUAAUUUUUAUAUUGGUUUGUGAUUUGUCACUCCCAAGUGGUAUUACGGCUU
RNAcentral lists this unclassified non-coding RNA (225 nucleotides) under Hevea brasiliensis (rubber tree). The record is from RNAcentral. Lineage: Eukaryota; Viridiplantae; Streptophyta; Magnoliopsida; Malpighiales; Euphorbiaceae.